Molecule: ribosomal RNA, 495 nt
Filed under: uncultured bacterium
Lineage: Bacteria
Description: partial 16S ribosomal RNA
Rfam family: Bacterial small subunit ribosomal RNA
Source: RNAcentral
GAUGAACGCUGGCGGCGUGCCUAAUACAUGCAAGUAGAACGCUGAAGGAGGACCUUUCUCUUCUGGAUGAGUUGCGAACGGGUGAGUAACGCGUAGGUAACCUGCCUGGUAGCGGGGGAUAACUAUUGGAAACUAUAGCUAAUACCGCAUGACAACAGUUAUUGCAUGAUAACUGUUUAAAAGUGGCAACUGCUCCAGUACCAGAUGGACCUGCGUUGUAUUAGCUAGUUGGUGAGGUAACGGCUCACCAAGGCGACGAUACAUACCCGACCGGCGAGGGUGAUCGGCCACACUGGGAGUGAGACACGGCACAGACUCCUACGGGAGGCAGCAGUAGGGAAUCUGCGGCAAUGGACGGAAGUCUGACCGAGCAACGCCGAGUGAGGGAAGAAGGUUUUCGGAUCGUAAAGCUCUGUUGUAAGAGAAGAAAGAGUGUGAGAGUGGAAAGUUCACACUGUGACGGUAACUUACAAGAAAGGGACGGCUAACUACGUG